AUGUUCUUUUUCAACAGUAGGGCACAAUGUCAGCACAGUCGGUUCAUGUCAAUUAGCCUGAAUACUGAAAGCAGGAGUGAUCAGAGGAUGGACAAGUCUUGCACACAAUGCAAGGAUUAUGUCGCACAUCAAUAUUGGGACCACAUGGAUAAUCGGAAAAAGCGUUUCUUUAAGCUUAUGCUUGGCAAUUUCAGGAAUGGAGUGACCAUACCAGAGAAGUUUGUGCGCAGUGUCAGAGGAAUGAUCUCUGAACUAGUCAAACUAGAAACUCCAGAUGGUAAUACAUAUAAUGUUCAUAUUGCCAAGGAACUGAAUAAUCUAGUCCUUCGAUCUGGAUGGUCAAAAUUUGCCAGUGUUUAUGAGCUUCAAGAGGGUGACUUUUUGAGGUUCAAAUACAAUGGGGACUCCCACUUCAAAGUUGAGAUCUAUGAUCCAAGUGCUUGCGAGAAAGAGACAUCCUGCGUUGUAAUGAACUACAAUCCAGGUCUCCAAAAACGGAGCGUUCCUCAUGAUAAUCAAAUGUUAUCACCGGAGGGUGAAAGGUUAGCAAAGCGUCACAAUGGUUGCUGCAGCGACAGUUGCAAAACUUCAAAGAUGAAUCCAGCAGGCUCUCCACACAAACCAACUAAAAAGGAAGUCCCAUCUUCUGAAGAUGCCAGGAGUUCAGGUGAACUUCAGACUUCCACCAGGUCUCGCUAUUUCUUAGCAACAGGGUGCAACCUGACUGAUGCACAUAAGGUGGAAGUCGACAAAAUUGAGCAAAAUAUCAGGCCUGAGAUUCCACUAUAUGUCAAAACCAUGUCCAGUGCCAGUCUGGUUGAUGGAUUUCUGGUCAUAUGCAAAGAUUACGCUAUCAAACACCUUCCAUGCAAAGACGAAUUCAUCACAUUUUGUCAUGCCAGUCAUAGCAAGACAUGGCGUGCUCAUUACAAGAUCAAUGCUGAUGAUACAUAUCAUCUUUCUACCGGAUGGUUGAGAUUUGUCGAUGACAACCAGUUGCAAAAAGGCGAUACUUGCAUGUUUGAAGUAUUAAAGAGGCAGAGAAGUUUCACAAUGGCAGUUCAUCUGCUUAAAGCAAGCUAUCAUCAUCCACCAGGAUUUCCCGCUUCUUCCAAGAGUCUUAGGCCUGAAGCCAAGAGUUUUAGGCCUGAAGAUAAAGUGAGGCUGUCACGAUUCAUCACAUUGGAGGGUCUGCUGAAGACUAAAGUGCAUGAGAAAGUAGAAGUUAUUAAGCCCGAAAUCCCUGUUUUUGUGUCUAUCAUGAUGAAAACCAAUGUUAGCGGCAGAAGCCUCAGUUUGGCCUUCAGUCUGGAUUAUGCCAAAGAUUUUCUCCCUGGUGAGAACCAAAUUUUCAGGCUUCAUCGGCCCGGGGAAAGCGCUCCAUGGAAAACUGAAUUCAAGAGCUUUGCUUCAAGGCGUUGGCUUGUUAGAGGCUGGGAGCAAUUUGUCAUUGACAACAAACUGGAACUAGACGAUGUCUGCCUCUUCGAGCGGAUUGAAAACAAGAAGAAGCUCAGGAUGAUGGUCCACAUCAUCCGAAAGAAAGAGUACUGUUGA
Molecule: ribosomal RNA, 1557 nt
Filed under: Triticum aestivum (bread wheat)
Lineage: Eukaryota; Viridiplantae; Streptophyta; Magnoliopsida; Poales; Poaceae
Description: partial small subunit ribosomal RNA
Source: RNAcentral